Molecule: ribosomal RNA, 497 nt
Filed under: uncultured bacterium
Lineage: Bacteria
Description: partial 16S ribosomal RNA
Rfam family: Bacterial small subunit ribosomal RNA
Source: RNAcentral
GAUGAACGCUGGCGGCGUGCCUAAUACAUGCAAGUCGAGCGAACAGAUGAGGAGCUUGCUCCUCUGACGUUAGCGGCGGACGGGUGAGUAACACGUGGAUAACCUACCUAUAAGACUGGGAUAACUUCGGGAAACCGGAGCUAAUACCGGAUAAUAUAUUGAACCGCAUGGUUCAAUAGUGAAAGACGGUUUUGCUGUCACUUAUAGAUGGAUCCGCGCCGCAUUAGCUAGUUGGUAAGGUAACGGCUUACCAAGGCAACGAUGCGUAGCCGACCUGAGAGGGUGAUCGGCCACACUGGAACUGAGACACGGUCCAGACUCCUACGGGAGGCAGCAGUAGGGAAUCUUCCGCAAUGGGCGAAAGCCUGACGGAGCAACGCCGCGUGAGUGAUGAAGGUCUUCGGAUCGUAAGACUCUGUUAUUAGGGGAGAACAAAUGUGUAAGUAACUAUGCACGUCUUGACGGUACCUAAUCAGAAAGCCACGGCUAACUACGUG